AUGAACGCUGGCGGCGUGCCUAAUACCUGCCAGUCGAGCGCACGGACGAGAAGCUUGCUUUUCUGAUGUUAGCGGCGGACGGGUGAGUAACACGUGGAUAACCUACCUAUAAGACUGGGAUAACUUCGGGAAACCGGAGCUAAUACCGGAUAAUAUUUUGAACCGCAUGGUUCAAAAGUGAAAGACGGUCUUGCUGUCACUUAUAGAUGGAUCCGCGCUGCAUUAGCUAGUUGGUAAGGUAACGGCUUACCAAGGCAACGAUGCAUAGCCGACCUGAGAGGGUGAUCGGCCACACUGGAACUGAGACACGGUCCAGACUCCUACGGGAGGCAGCAGUAGGGAAUCUUCCGCAAUGGGCGAAAGCCUGACGGAGCAACGCCGCGUGAGUGAUGAAGGUCUUCGGAUCGUAAAACUCUGUUAUUAGGGAAGAACAUAUGUGUAAGUAACUGUGCACAUCUUGACGGUACCUAAUCAGAAAGCCACGGCUAACUACGUG
RNAcentral lists this ribosomal RNA (496 nucleotides) under uncultured bacterium. RNAcentral's name for it is "partial 16S ribosomal RNA". It matches the Rfam family "Bacterial small subunit ribosomal RNA", at positions 29 to 507 of the family's 1533-position model. The record is from RNAcentral.